UAGGGAAUCUUCCGCAAUGGACGAAAGUCUGACGGAGCAACGCCGCGUGUAUGAAGAAGGUUUUCGGAUCGUAAAGUACUGUUGUUAGAGAAGAACAAGGAUAAGAGUAACUGCUUGUCCCUUGACGGUAUCUAACCAGAAAGCCACGGCUAACUACGUGCCAGCAGCCGCGGUAAUACGUAGGUGGCAAGCGUUGUCCGGAUUUAUUGGGCGUAAAGCGCGCGCAGGCGGUCUUUUAAGUCUGAUGUGAAAGCCCCCGGCUUAACCGGGGAGGGUCAUUGGAAACUGGAAGACUGGAGUGCAGAAGAGGAGAGUGGAAUUCCACGUGUAGCGGUGAAAUGCGUAGAUAUGUGGAGGAACACCAGUGGCGAAGGCGACUCUCUGGUCUGUAACUGACGCUGAGGCGCGAAAGCGUGGGGAGCAAACAGGAUUAGAUACCCUGGUAGUCCACGCCGUAAACGAUGAGUGCUAAGUGUUAGGGGGUUUCCGCCCCUUAGUGCUGCAGCUAACGCAUUAAGCACUCCGCCUGGGGAGUACGACCGCAAGGUUGAAACUCAAAGGAAUUGACGGGGGCCCGCACAAGCGGUG
RNAcentral lists this ribosomal RNA (588 nucleotides) under Listeria monocytogenes. RNAcentral describes it as "bacterial SSU rRNA". It matches the Rfam family "Bacterial small subunit ribosomal RNA", at positions 355 to 934 of the family's 1533-position model. The record is from RNAcentral. Lineage: Bacteria; Bacillati; Bacillota; Bacilli; Caryophanales; Listeriaceae.